Molecule: ribosomal RNA, 433 nt
Filed under: uncultured bacterium
Lineage: Bacteria
Description: partial 16S ribosomal RNA
Rfam family: Bacterial small subunit ribosomal RNA
Source: RNAcentral
AGCGAACGCUGGCGGCAGGCCUAACACAUGCAAGUCGAACGAACUCUUCGGAGUUAGUGGCGGACGGGUGAGUAACACGUGGGAACGUGCCUUUUGGUUCGGAAUAACCCAGGGAAACAUGUGCUAAUAACGCAUGUGCCCUUCGGGGGAAAGAUUUAGCGCCAUUAGAGCGGCCCGCGUCUGAUUAGCUAGUUGGUGAGGUAACGGCUCACCAAGGCGACGAUCAGUAGCUGGUCUGAGAGGAUGACCAGCCACACUGGGACUGAGACACGGCCCAGACUCCUACGGGAGGCAGCAGUGGGGAAUCUUGCGCAAUGGGCGAAAGCCUGACGCAGCCAUGCCGCGUGAAUGAUGAAGGUCUUAGGAUUGUAAAAUUCUUUCGGCGGGGAAGAUAAUGACGGUACCCGGAGAAGAAGCCCCGGCUAACUUCGUG